This 497-nucleotide ribosomal RNA is filed under the name uncultured bacterium. RNAcentral describes it as "partial 16S ribosomal RNA". It matches the Rfam family "Bacterial small subunit ribosomal RNA", at positions 28 to 507 of the family's 1533-position model. The record is from RNAcentral.
GAUGAACGCUGGCGGCGUGCCUAAUACAUGCAAGUCGAGCGAACAGAUGAGGAGCUUGCUCCUCUGACGUUAGCGGCGGACGGGUGAGUAACACGUGGAUAACCUACCUAUAAGACUGGGAUAACUUCGGGAAACCGGAGCUAAUACCGGAUAAUAUAUUGAACCGCAUGGUUCAAUAGUGAAAGACGGUUUUGCUGUCACUUAUAGAUGGAUCCGCGCCGCAUUAGCUAGUUGGUAAGGUAACGGCUUACCAAGGCAACGAUGCGUAGCCGACCUGAGAGGGUGAGCGGCGAAGCAGGAGCUACGCCGCGGCCCAGCAGACUGAGGGAGGCAGCAGGGGGGAAUCGUAGACAAGGGGCGAACGACUGACAGAGCAUCUCAGUAGGAAAGAAGAAAGUUGUCAGAUCUUAAAACUCGCUUAUCGGCGAAUAACAAAAAUGCAAGUAACAAUGCACGGCGUGAGGGUAACGAAAUAGAAAGCAACGGAUAACUACGAG